This 1631-nucleotide unclassified non-coding RNA is filed under the name Hevea brasiliensis (rubber tree). The record is from RNAcentral. Lineage: Eukaryota; Viridiplantae; Streptophyta; Magnoliopsida; Malpighiales; Euphorbiaceae.
UUUUAGUUUGUUCAGAUGAAUUAGGUGGCCUGCAAACCCCAUGACUAAUGAAGUACUCAGUAGCUCUUUUUUGAACAAAAUUCUAUAUAUUCUUCGCCGAUCGUGAUUUUGUUUAUUCAUGACAGUUAGAAAAUUCUAUUUUUCCACUUAAUUGAGUGUUCAAUUUGAAGAAGAAGUGGAGGAGGAUCCGAUAUGGAGGUGAAGGGAAUUGAUGGGAAAUUAGAAAAGAGUGAUUCCACUUCUGCUGAUGAAAUUUCACAUUUGUCUAUCGACAUUGGAGGCUCCCUCAUCAAGAUUGUAUACUUUUCAACCAACAGUAAGUGCAGCACAAAUGAUGAGGCACCAACGUUAUCAAAAGAAAGACAGGAAGUUCCCAAUGGAGACCUUAACCAUCACAUUCUCAGUGGCAGGCUUUAUUUCAUUAAAUUCGAGACUAGCAAGAUUGAGGACUGCAUAAAGUUUUUGUCUUCCAAGAAACUUCAAAAAUGCGGUGCUCAAUGUCAUCAUUCUCACGCUGUUGACAAGAUCAAGAUUAAGGCAACAGGUGGUGGAGCUUUCAAGUUUGCCGAUCUAUUCAAAGAAAAACUUGGCCUAACUCUGGACAAGGUAGAGGAAAUGGAGUCUCUUGUUACCGGAGCAAAUUUUCUGCUUAAGGCUGCCAAUCAUGAAGUUUAUACAUAUAUUGGAGGUCAAAAGGAGUAUGUGCAGAUAGAUCAGAAUGAUUUAUAUCCCUACCUCCUUGUCAACAUUGGGUCUGGGGUUAGCAUGAUAAAGGUAGAUGGAGAUGGGAAAUUUCAGAGAGUUAGUGGAACUAGCGUCGGUGGUGGCACUUUCUUGGGACUAGGGAAACUUUUGACUAAAUGCCAAAGUUUUGAUGAGUUGCUGGAACUGAGCCAUCUGGGAAAUAACAGAGUGAUAGACAUGCUCGUUGGAGAUAUUUACGGGGGAUUGGACUAUUCAAAGAUUGGCCUUGCAUCAACAGCCAUAGCGUCUAGCUUCGGUAAGGCGAUCUCAGAAAACAAAGAGCUCGAAGACUACAAACCAGAAGACAUUGCCCGGUCCCUCUUAAGGAUGAUCUCAAAUAACAUCGGACAGAUUGCAUACUUGAAUGCUCUUCGUUUUGGGCUCAAGCGGAUCUUUUUGGGAGGAUUCUUCAUCCGCGACCAUGCUUAUACAAUGGACACAAUCUCCGUUGCAGUUGAUUUCUGGUCGAAGGGUGAGGCCAAAGCAAUGUUCUUGCGGCAUGAGGGAUUUCUUGGAGCCCUAGGAGCUUUCAUGAACUACAAAGAUGGAAGUACAGAUUCCAUGCCCCCUCAGUUAGUUGAGCAACAAGCCGCCAAGAGGAGUUCAAGUUGCAUAGUCGAUAGGAUUCAUAACUCUACGCAUGUGCAGGAAAAUGAAAAUGGCGCCACAGACUGUAGAUUGCGAGUUAGUAGCUCAUUUAAAAUUUAUGAUGAGGUCAAAAGGUGUUGACCUAUGAAACAACUAGCAUAUGUACAAAAAUUAACGAGGAUGUCAAAAGAAUCUGUUGUUUCUAUUCCUAGUUAAGUAAGCAACAAAAUUUCAGAUUUAUAUGUAUAUGUAUUUGUCCUGCAAUAGAUUUGUAGAACCUUGACAUGUGAUGAAGUGAG